Molecule: transfer RNA, 71 nt
Filed under: Dipodomys ordii (Ord's kangaroo rat)
Lineage: Eukaryota; Metazoa; Chordata; Mammalia; Rodentia; Heteromyidae
Rfam family: tRNA
About the family: Transfer RNA (tRNA) molecules are approximately 80 nucleotides in length.
Source: Rfam by way of RNAcentral
GGGGCUAUGGUUCAAGUGGUAGAGCACUUGCCUAGCAAGCAGGAAGCACUGAGUUUAAUCUAGUAUCCCCA